GCCGGAGUGGCGGAAUAGGCAGACGCCCGGGACUUAAAAUCCCGUGUCCUUUUUGGACGUACCGGUUCGACCCCGGUCUCCGGCACCA
RNAcentral lists this transfer RNA (88 nucleotides) under Clostridiales bacterium. RNAcentral's name for it is "tRNA-Leu". It matches the Rfam family "tRNA". Rfam says of the family: Transfer RNA (tRNA) molecules are approximately 80 nucleotides in length. Their secondary structure includes four short double-helical elements and three loops (D, anti-codon, and T loops). Lineage: Bacteria; Bacillati; Bacillota; Clostridia; Eubacteriales. The record is from RNAcentral.